UAGGGCGGGACACGUGUUAUCCUGUCUGAAUAUGGGGGGACCAUCCUCCAAGGCUAAAUACUCCUGAUUGACCGAUAGUGAACCAGUACCGUGAGGGAAAGGCGAAAAGAACCCCGGCGAGGGGAGUGAAAUAGAACCUGAAACCGUGUACGUACAAGCAGUGGGAGCCUUGAUUUAUCAGGGUGACUGCGUACCUUUUGUAUAAUGGGUCAGCGACUUAUAUUCUGUAGCAAGGUUAACCGUAUAGGGGAGCCGUAGGGAAACCGAGUCUUAACUGGGCGAAUGAGUUGCAGGGUAUAGACCCGAAACCCGGUGAUCUAGCCAUGGGCAGGUUGAAGGUUGGGUAACACUAACUGGAGGACCGAACCGACUAAUGUUGAAAAAUUAGCGGAUGACUUGUGGCUGGGGGUGAAAGGCCAAUCAAACCGGGAGAUAGCUGGUUCUCCCCGAAAGCUAUUUAGGUAGCGCCUCGUGAACUCAUCUUCGGGGGUAGAGCACUGUUUCGACUAGGGGGUCAUCCCGACUUACCAACUCGAUGCAAACUACGAAUACCGAAGAAUGUUAUCACGGGAGACACACGGCGGGUGCUAACGUUCGUCGUGAAGAGGGAAACAACCCAGACCGCCAGCUAAGGUCCCAAAGUCAUAGUUAAGUGGGAAACGAAGUGGGAAGGCUCAGACAGCCAGGAUGUUGGCUUAGAAGCAGCCAUCAUUUAAAGAAAGCGUAAUAGCUCACUGGUCGAGUCGGCCUGCGCGGAAGAUGUAACGGGGCUAAACUAUGCACCGAAGCUGCGGCAGCGAUAUGUAAAUAUUGUUGGGUAGGGGAGCGUUCUGUAAGCCUG
This 841-nucleotide ribosomal RNA is filed under the name Providencia rettgeri. Its description in RNAcentral is "partial 23S ribosomal RNA". It matches the Rfam family "Bacterial large subunit ribosomal RNA", at positions 413 to 1251 of the family's 2925-position model. Lineage: Bacteria; Pseudomonadati; Pseudomonadota; Gammaproteobacteria; Enterobacterales; Morganellaceae. The record is from RNAcentral.